GUUCAUACAUAUUUAUGUGCAGAAAGAACUACCAUUACGUUUGUUUUUUGGGAAUGGUCCAAGAGUCCACAAGAAAUUAUGCAUAGCAUGGGGUGUGGCUGACAGACGCUGUGGACAAUGUGGUAAAGUUGGACAGCUAGUCUGCUUUUCCCCAAACUUCCGAAAAUGGGCUUUAAGGAGAGUAACCGUUGAAGAGCUCAAUCAAACUUGCAAUAGAUGUAAUGAACGUGGACACCUCGAUCCGGAUUGUGAUCUCUCUUUUACAACUCAAAAAUCGGCUGAAAUUCCUGUUCCCAAAAAGAGGUCAGUGCAUUGUGGAUUGUGUGGUAAAGUUGGACAUAACCGAAGGACAUGUUUGCAAGCAGGACGUGAUUGAAUGUUUAUGGCUACAAUAUGUUAUUAAGAAUAUCAGUACUUUUUUAUCUUUUCAUUUCUCAACAUUCUCUUUUAAACUUUUUCAUCUUAAACGAACUGAUUAUAAAUACAGAUUUGGUUCUUCCUAA
Non-coding RNA from Vigna umbellata (rice bean), 503 nucleotides. The record is from RefSeq and is a predicted model, not a curated record. Lineage: Eukaryota; Viridiplantae; Streptophyta; Magnoliopsida; Fabales; Fabaceae.